AUUGGUCUUCGGGGCAGGGUGAAAUUCCCGACCGGCGGUGAUUCACGAUCGUUGUGAUUAGUCCGUGAGCUGCUUAAAUGUUUAAGUGGUUGAUCUGGUGAAAUUCCAGAGCCGACAGUAAAGUCUGGAUGGGAGAAGAUUGCA
RNAcentral lists this non-coding RNA (144 nucleotides) under Geomicrobium sp. JCM 19038. RNAcentral's name for it is "FMN riboswitch aptamer (RFN element)". It matches the Rfam family "FMN riboswitch aptamer (RFN element)". From Rfam's summary of the family: The RFN element is a highly conserved domain that is found frequently in the 5'-untranslated regions of prokaryotic mRNAs that encode for flavin mononucleotide (FMN) biosynthesis and transport proteins. This element is a metabolite-dependent riboswitch that directly binds FMN in the absence of proteins. The record is from Rfam by way of RNAcentral. RNAcentral also lists the same sequence under 1 other name. Lineage: Bacteria; Bacillati; Bacillota; Bacilli; Caryophanales.